AACGAACGCUGGCGGCAUGCCUAACACAUGCAAGUCGAACGAGACCUUCGGGUCUAGUGGCGCACGGGUGCGUAACGCGUGGGAACCUGCCCUUAGGUUCGGAAUAACUCCCCGAAAGGGGUGCUAAUACCGGAUAAUGUCUUCGGACCAAAGAUUUAUCGCCUUUGGAUGGGCCCGCGUUGGAUUAGCUAGUUGGUAGGGUAAAAGCCUACCAAGGCGACGAUCCAUAGCUGGUCUGAGAGGAUGAUCAGCCACACUGGGACUGAGACACGGCCCAGACUCCUACGGGAGGCAGCAGUGGGGAAUAUUGGACAAUGGGCGAAAGCCUGAUCCAGCAAUGCCGGGUGAGUGAUGAAGGCCUUAGGGUUGUAAAGCGCCUUUACCCGGGAUGAUAAUGACAGUACCGGGAGAAUAAGCUCCGGCUAACUCCGUG
Molecule: ribosomal RNA, 433 nt
Filed under: uncultured bacterium
Lineage: Bacteria
Description: partial 16S ribosomal RNA
Rfam family: Bacterial small subunit ribosomal RNA
Source: RNAcentral